UUUUAUGAUUUCGUAGUAAGUUAAUUCCGAAGUAAAAUAUGCGUAUUUUUUUUUAUUGAAGGUCAGAAAUUAUUGAUACAACUGCAUCUGUGUCAAAGGAGAAUCAUUGCCCGGAUGAUUUUUUUACAAAGUCCGGAAGUGAAAAAUUUGACUUUUCUACGCCAGAAGUUACAGCUAAUGUUCCUAAGACAAACCAGGCUUUCCUGAGUUCUGAUCUGGACAUUUCAGUUAUUGACUCUGACGUAGAAGGUAGAAAUACAAGCUCUCUUUUGGGGUGAAAAUUUUGUGCAUGAUUUGGCUUUCAUUGAGACGUCUCUGGGUCAGGAAGU
Molecule: long non-coding RNA, 329 nt
Organism: Stegodyphus dumicola
Lineage: Eukaryota; Metazoa; Arthropoda; Arachnida; Araneae; Eresidae
Source: RefSeq, a predicted model, not a curated record